Molecule: ribosomal RNA, 484 nt
Filed under: uncultured bacterium
Lineage: Bacteria
Description: partial 16S ribosomal RNA
Rfam family: Bacterial small subunit ribosomal RNA
Source: RNAcentral
AGUGAACGCUGGCGGCAGGCCUAACACAUGCAAGUCGAGCGGAUGAAGGGAGCUUGCUCCUGGAUUCAGCGGCGGACGGGUGAGUAAUGCCUAGGAAUCUGCCUGUUUGUGGGGGAUAACGUCCGGAAACGGGGGCUAAUACCGCAUACGUCCAGAGGGAGAAAGGGGGGGAUCUUCGGACCUUAGGCCAUUGGAUGAGCCUAGGUCGGAUUAGCUAGUUGGUGGGGUAAAGGCCUACCAAGGCGACGAUCCGUAACUGGUCUGAGAGGAUGAUCAGUCACACUGGAACUGAGACACGGUCCAGACUCCUACGAGAGGCAGCAGUGGGGAAUAUUGGACAAAGGGCGAAAGCCUGAUCCAGCCAUGCCGCGUGUGUGAAGAAGGUCUUCGGAUUGUAAAGCACUUUAAGUUGGGAAGAAGAGCAGUAAGUUAAUACCUUGCUGUUUUGACGGUACCAAAAGAAUAAGCACCGGCUAACUUCGUG